RNAcentral lists this ribosomal RNA (354 nucleotides) under uncultured bacterium. Its description in RNAcentral is "bacterial SSU rRNA". It matches the Rfam family "Bacterial small subunit ribosomal RNA", at positions 1037 to 1390 of the family's 1533-position model. The record is from RNAcentral.
GGUGCUGCAUGGCUGUCGCCAGCUCGUGUCGUGAGAUGUUGGGUUAAGUCCCGCAACGAGCGCAACCCUCAUCCUUAGUUACCAUCAGGUAAUGCUGGGGACUUUAAGGAAACUGCCAGUGAUAAACUGGAGGAAGGUGGGGAUGAUGUCAAGUCAUCAUGGCCCUUAUGGAGUGGGCUACACACGUGCUACAAUGGUGGCUACAAUGGGCUGCAAAGUCGCGAGGCUAAGCUAAUCCCUUAAAAGCCAUCUCAGUUCGGAUUGUACUCUGCAACUCGAGUGCAUGAAGUUGGAAUCGCUAGUAAUCGUGGAUCAGCACGCCACGGUGAAUACGUUCCCGGGUCUUGUACACAC